This 429-nucleotide ribosomal RNA is filed under the name Bacillota bacterium. RNAcentral describes it as "Firmicutes bacterium partial 16S ribosomal RNA". It matches the Rfam family "Bacterial small subunit ribosomal RNA", at positions 355 to 776 of the family's 1533-position model. The record is from RNAcentral. Lineage: Bacteria; Bacillati; Bacillota.
UAGGGAAUCUUCGGCAAUGGACGGAAGUCUGACCGAGCAACGCCGCGUGAGUGAAGAAGGUUUUCGGAUCGUAAAGCUCUGUUGUUAGAGAAGAACGUUGGUAGGAGUGGAAAAUCUACCAAGUGACGGUAACUAACCAGAAAGGGACGGCUAACUACGUGCCAGCAGCCGCGGUAAUACGUAGGUCCCGAGCGUUGUCCGGAUUUAUUGGGCGUAAAGCGAGCGCAGGCGGUUCUUUAAGUCUGAAGUUAAAGGCAGUGGCUUAACCAUUGUACGCUUUGGAAACUGGAUGACUUGAGUGCAGAAGGGGAGAGUGAAAUUCCAUGUGUAGCGGUGAAAUGCGUAGAUAUAUGGAGGAACCCCGGUGGCGAAAGCGGCUCUCUGGUCUGUAACUGACGCUGAGGCUCGAAAGCGUGGGGAGCAAACAGG